GACGAACGCUGGCGGCGUGCCUAAUACAUGCAAGUCGAGCGGACAGAAGGGAGCUUGCUCCCGGAUGUUAGCGGCGGACGGGUGAGUAACACGUGGGUAACCUGCCUGUAAGACUGGGAUAACUCCGGGAAACCGGAGCUAAUACCGGAUAGUUCCUUGAACCGCAUGGUUCAAGGAUGAAAGACGGUUUCGGCUGUCACUUACAGAUGGACCCGCGGCGCAUUAGCUAGUUGGUGGGGUAAUGGCUCACCAAGGCGACGAUGCGUAGCCGACCUGGGAGGGUGGUCGGCCACACUGGGACUGAGACACGGCCCAGACUCCUACGGGAGGCAGCAGUAGGGAAUCUUCCGCAAUGGACGAAAGUCUGACGGAGCAACGCCGCGUGAGUGAUGAAGGUUUUCGGAUCGUAAAGCUCUGUUGUUAGGGAAGAACAAGUGCGAGAGUAACUGCUCGCACCUUGACGGUACCUAACCAGAAAGCCACGGCUAACUACGUGCCAGCAGCCGCAGUAA
RNAcentral lists this ribosomal RNA (512 nucleotides) under uncultured bacterium. RNAcentral describes it as "partial 16S ribosomal RNA". It matches the Rfam family "Bacterial small subunit ribosomal RNA", at positions 28 to 523 of the family's 1533-position model. The record is from RNAcentral.